CCUUCGGGUCUAGUGGCGCACGGGUGCGUAACGCGUGGGUAAUCUGCCCUUGGGUUCGGAAUAACAGUUGGAAACGACUGCUAAUACCGGAUGAUGACGAAAGUCCAAAGAUUUAUCGCCCAGGGAUGAGCCCGCGUAGGAUUAGCUAGUUGGUGAGGUAAAGGCUCACCAAGGCUACGAUCCUUAGCUGGUCUGAGAGGAUGAUCAGCCACACUGGGACUGAGACACGGCCCAGACUCCUACGGGAGGCAGCAGUAGGGAAUAUUGGACAAUGGGGGCAACCCUGAUCCAGCAAUGCCGCGUGAGUGAUGAAGGCCUUAGGGUUGUAAAGCUCUUUUACCCGGGAUGAUAAUGACAGUACCGGGAGAAUAAGCCCCGGCUAACUCCGUGCCAGCAGCCGCGGUAAUACGGAGGGGGCUAGCGUUGUUCGGAAUUACUGGGCGUAAAGCGCACGUAGGCGGCGAUUUAAGUCAGAGGUGAAAGCCCGGGGCUCAACCCCGGAAUAGCCUUUGAGACUGGAUUGCUUGAAUCUUGGAGAGGCGGGUGGAAUUCCGAGUGUAGAGGUGAAAUUCGUAGAUAUUCUGAAGAACACCAGUGGCGAAGGCGGCCCGCUGGACAAGUAUUGACCCUGAG
Molecule: ribosomal RNA, 633 nt
Filed under: uncultured bacterium
Lineage: Bacteria
Description: bacterial SSU rRNA
Rfam family: Bacterial small subunit ribosomal RNA
Source: RNAcentral